ACUUUUGUUGUCAAUGUGGCAGAAACAUAAAAUUUGUCCAAGAUCAUGCAAACAAAGCCCAAGAUGAGAGGAACACUACCACUGCAACUCCCGAUGUUCAACCAAGCACCAGCACAGGUGUAGAGUGUUUCAUGAACUUUAGAGCUAUAAAAGAGAGGGAAAGAAAGAAAUUUUUUACCAAGAAGCAUCAGAACAAAACACAGAAGGGAAAUAAACUGAAGAUUAAUGUUGGGCUUAUGAGGAUGCAGGGAGAUUCCCUUAAGACAGUGAGAGGGAAGUUACUUACAGUUGAGAUUCACCCUGAGUGGGCAUCGGAACAAGUGCUUGCUGCUGCUGUAAAGAAGCAAAAGGAUUUCAAUAUAGACCUGAGAGAUUGUGCCCAUGUCUUGUUGUAUCCUGAUGCAAGGGAGGUUAAGAACAUCCCAGGAACAGACAUUCCUUUCACAGUGCAAAAGUACAAGGAGGCAAUUGGAAAGCCUUACCAAAGAAUUACGCUUUACAUUUGCCCUGUUGAGGAAUUUGCAAAAAGCUGUAAGUGCUUUUGAUCUACA
Xiphophorus hellerii (green swordtail) is the source of this 551-nucleotide long non-coding RNA. RefSeq lists it as uncharacterized. The record is from RefSeq and is a predicted model, not a curated record. NCBI's taxonomy places the organism in Eukaryota, Metazoa, Chordata, Actinopteri, Cyprinodontiformes, Poeciliidae. The transcript has 3 exons.